This 625-nucleotide ribosomal RNA is filed under the name uncultured bacterium. RNAcentral describes it as "bacterial SSU rRNA". It matches the Rfam family "Bacterial small subunit ribosomal RNA", at positions 242 to 858 of the family's 1533-position model. The record is from RNAcentral.
UAGCUAGUUGGUAAGGUAAAGGCUUACCAAGGCGAUGAUGCAUAGCCGAGUUGAGAGACUGAUCGGCCACAUUGGGACUGAGACACGGCCCAAACUCCUACGGGAGGCAGCAGUAGGGAAUCUUCCACAAUGGACGCAAGUCUGAUGGAGCAACGCCGCGUGAGUGAAGAAGGUUUUCGGAUCGUAAAGCUCUGUUGUUGGUGAAGAAGGAUAGAGGUAGUAACUGGCCUUUAUUUGACGGUAAUCAACCAGAAAGUCACGGCUAACUACGUGCCAGCAGCCGCGGUAAUACGUAGGUGGCAAGCGUUGUCCGGAUUUAUUGGGCGUAAAGCGAGCGCAGGCGGAAGAAUAAGUCUGAUGUGAAAGCCCUCGGCUUAACCGAGGAACUGCAUCGGAAACUGUUUUUCUUGAGUGCAGAAGAGGAGAGUGGAACUCCAUGUGUAGCGGUGGAAUGCGUAGAUAUAUGGAAGAACACCAGUGGCGAAGGCGGCUCUCUGGUCUGCAACUGACGCUGAGGCUCGAAAGCAUGGGUAGCGAACAGGAUUAGAUACCCUGGUAGUCCAUGCCGUAAACGAUGAGUGCUAAGUGUUGGGAGGUUUCCGCCUCUCAGUGCUGCAGCUAACGC